This 440-nucleotide ribosomal RNA is filed under the name uncultured bacterium. RNAcentral's name for it is "partial 16S ribosomal RNA". It matches the Rfam family "Bacterial small subunit ribosomal RNA", at positions 338 to 795 of the family's 1533-position model. The record is from RNAcentral.
CCUACGGGAGGCAGCAGUGGGGAAUAUUGGACAAUGGGGGAAACCCUGAUCCAGCGACGCCGCGUGAGUGAAGAAGUAUUUCGGUACGUAAAGCUCUAUCAGCAGGAAAGAAAAUGCCGGUCCCUGACUAAGAAGCCCCGGCUAACUACGUGCCAGCAGCCGCGGUAAUACGUAGGGGGCAAGCGUUAUCCGGAUUUACUGGGUGGAAAGGGAGCGUAGACGGCAGCGCAAGUCUGGAGUGAAAUGCCGGGGCCCAACCCCGGAACUGCUCUGGAAACUGUGAAGCUGGAGUGCAGGAGAGGUAAGCGGAAUUCCUGGUGUAGCGGUGAAAUGCGUAGAUAUCAGGAGGAACACCGGCGGCGAAGGCGGCUUACUGGACUGUAACUGACGUUGAGGCUCGAAGGCGUGGGGAGCAAACAGGAUUAGAUACCCUUGUAGUC